CCACUCUGGCAGUAUGUGGGAUGAUAAAUUUGGGAAGGGAAAAGUUAAGAGACAGGGAUAAGACUCUGAAGCUAUUGCAGAAAUCCACCCCGUAACGGUGGCACAAGAGCAGAAAUAUUUGAAGACCUUUGCCCUGGACUACAUUUCUGCAUAAAUUUUCCAUCCAGGUCACUCCUGUUGUCAAAGCUGAAAGCUUGGAGGUGAUGAGAGACCUAUGCAAGUUCCAGUCCAUCAUCAUCAGUUCCACGUUGUCCCUGCUCUUCCCCACAUCGUGUCCCUCAUUCCUUCUCAACUGUCUGGCCUGUUCUCUUUAGGCUCUAGCACCAGACACAGAAGCCACACCUCACGUAGCCUGUUUGUAUCAACUCUGUA
This is a long non-coding RNA of Neofelis nebulosa (Clouded leopard), 372 nucleotides long. RefSeq lists it as uncharacterized. The transcript has 3 exons. The record is from RefSeq and is a predicted model, not a curated record. Lineage: Eukaryota; Metazoa; Chordata; Mammalia; Carnivora; Felidae.